Molecule: transfer RNA, 87 nt
Filed under: Woeseiaceae bacterium
Lineage: Bacteria; Pseudomonadati; Pseudomonadota; Gammaproteobacteria; Woeseiales; Woeseiaceae
Description: tRNA-Leu
Rfam family: tRNA
About the family: Transfer RNA (tRNA) molecules are approximately 80 nucleotides in length. Their secondary structure includes four short double-helical elements and three loops (D, anti-codon, and T loops).
Source: RNAcentral
GCCGAGGUGGCGGAAUUGUUAGAUGUGCUAGCUUCAGGUGCUAGUGAGUGAAAUCUCGUGGAGGUUCAAAUCCUCUUCUCGGUACCA